GGGGGAGUGAAUCAAGGAAGUUGGAGUGUGGGGGAGUGUUUGUGCCGUUUGGGGAGUUUUGGUUGUACAAUUUGACUAAGGGGGGAACUUGGGGUAAUGCAUUUCGAUUUUGGUCAGUAUAGGUGCCAAAUUUUCUCUCUAGUUUUUAGGAGUUUUGGUUUUUCUUUCUUUUUCUCUUAGAAUCGAACUACAAUCGACCAUACGUGCAUUUUUUGUCAGGUUUUUGUUAGUUUUUUUGAGCUACGAAAUUGUCCAUACGUGCCUUUUC
This 268-nucleotide long non-coding RNA is filed under the name Gossypium raimondii (Peruvian cotton). RNAcentral describes it as "long non-coding RNA (GRAI_LNC000450)". The record is from RNAcentral. Lineage: Eukaryota; Viridiplantae; Streptophyta; Magnoliopsida; Malvales; Malvaceae.